Molecule: unclassified non-coding RNA, 201 nt
Filed under: plant metagenome
Description: partial contains small subunit ribosomal RNA, internal transcribed spacer 1, and 5.8S ribosomal RNA
Source: RNAcentral
UCUCCGUUGGUGAACCAGCGGAGGGAUCAUUAUCGAGUUUAUAACUCCCAAACCCUAUGUGAACUUACCACUUGUUGCUUCGGCGCGCGCUUCGGCGCCGCCGAGGACACUUAAACUCUUUGUUUUUAUAAGCAUUUCUGAGUGGCCGAAAGGCAAAAUACAAAUGAAUCAUAACUUUCAACAACGGAUCUCUUGGUUCUG